UGGCAGACGGCUGAGUAACGCGUGGGUGACCUGUCCUGUAGUGGGGAAUAACUGCCCGAAAGGGUGGCUAAGACCGCAUGAGCUUCAUCUGUCGGAGGGUGGAGGAAAGCCCCUUUGGGGGUACUGGAGGAGGGGCCCGCGUCCGAUUAGCUAGUUGGGGAGGUAACGGCUCACCAAGGCUUCGAUCGGUAACCGGCCUGAGAGGGCGAUCGGUCACACCGGAACUGAGACACGGUCCGG
This 240-nucleotide ribosomal RNA is filed under the name uncultured bacterium. Its description in RNAcentral is "partial 16S ribosomal RNA". It matches the Rfam family "Bacterial small subunit ribosomal RNA", at positions 96 to 334 of the family's 1533-position model. The record is from RNAcentral.